AUGAACGCUGGCGGCGUGCCUAAUACAUGCAAGUCGAGCGAACGGACGAGAAGCUUGCUUUUCUGAUGUUAGCGGCGGACGGGUGAGUAACACGUGGAUAACCUACCUAUAAGACUGGGAUAACUUCGGGAAACCGGAGCUAAUACCGGAUAAUAUUUUGAACCGCAUGGUUCAAAAGUGAAAGACGGUCUUGCUGUCACUUAUAGAUGGAUCCGCGCUGCAUUAGCUAGUUGGUAAGGUAACGGCUUACCAAGGCAACGAUGCAUAGCCGACCUGAGAGGGUGAUCGGCCACACUGAGACUGAGACACGGUCCAGACUCCUACGGGAGGCGGCAGUAGGGAAUCUUCCGCAAUGGGCGAAAGCCUGACGGAGCAACGCCGCGUGAGUGAUGAAGGUCUUCGGAUCGUAAAACUCUGUUAUUAGGGAAGAACAUAUGUGUAAGUAACUGUGCACAUCUUGACGGUACCUAAUCAGAAAGCCACGGCUAACUACGUG
RNAcentral lists this ribosomal RNA (496 nucleotides) under uncultured bacterium. RNAcentral's name for it is "partial 16S ribosomal RNA". It matches the Rfam family "Bacterial small subunit ribosomal RNA", at positions 29 to 507 of the family's 1533-position model. The record is from RNAcentral.